Molecule: ribosomal RNA, 440 nt
Filed under: uncultured bacterium
Lineage: Bacteria
Description: partial 16S ribosomal RNA
Rfam family: Bacterial small subunit ribosomal RNA
Source: RNAcentral
CCUACGGUAGGCAGCAGUAGGGAAUAUUGCUCAAUGGGGGAAACCCUGAAGCAGCAACGCCGCGUGGAGGAUGAAGGUUUUCGGAUUGUAAACUCCUUUUGUUAGAGAAGAUAAUGACGGUAUCUAACGAAUAAGCACCGGCUAACUCCGUGCCAGCAGCCGCGGUAAUACGGAGGGUGCAAGCGUUACUCGGAAUCACUGGGCGUAAAGAGCGCGUAGGCGGGAUAGCAAGUCAGAUGUGAAAUCCUAUGGCUUAACCAUAGAACUGCAUUUGAAACUGUUAUUCUAGAGUAUGGGAGAGGUAGGUGGAAUUCUUGGUGUAGGGGUAAAAUCCGUAGAGAUCAAGAGGAAUACUCAUUGCGAAGGCAGCUUGCUGCAGCGGAACUGACGCUGAUGCUCGAAAGCGCGGGUAUCGAACAGGAUUAGAUACCCCAGUAGUC